RNAcentral lists this unclassified non-coding RNA (219 nucleotides) under Hevea brasiliensis (rubber tree). The record is from RNAcentral. Lineage: Eukaryota; Viridiplantae; Streptophyta; Magnoliopsida; Malpighiales; Euphorbiaceae.
AGGCUAUUUUGUCAUAUUGGAAGAUGAAAUUGAUGGUGGUGGUAAUUCUCCACAUUGGCCCUGGCAGGACUUGAUUUUUCUGUUGUGGCCGUUUUGAGUAUUGCUCAAUCUGAAUGCUGAAGAAUUCGCGGAGGUAUACUGUUGUAUUCUAUUUUUUUAAAAAAUUUUAUGAUCAACCCGCAUUUUGCAUUAUCUUUUUGUAAAUAUAGCUCUUCCACG